RNAcentral lists this unclassified non-coding RNA (401 nucleotides) under soil metagenome. Its description in RNAcentral is "partial contains 5.8S ribosomal RNA, internal transcribed spacer 2, and large subunit ribosomal RNA". The stretch from base 1 to 121 matches the Rfam family "5.8S ribosomal RNA", at positions 35 to 154 of the family's 154-position model. The record is from RNAcentral.
GAUGAAGAACGCAGCGAAAUGCGAUAAGUAAUGUGAAUUGCAGAAUUCAGUGAAUCAUCGAAUCUUUGAACGCACCUUGCGCCCCUUGGUUAUUCCAAAGGGCAUGCCUGUUUUAGUAUCAUGAACACCUCAACUCUUGUGGUUUCCCACAAUGAGCUUGGACUGUGGAGGUUUUGUUGGCCCUGUGGUCAGCUCCUCUCAAAUGGAUCAGCUUACCGGUGUUUGGUGGCAUUACGGGUGUGAUAACUAUCUACGCUCGUGGUCGUCUCCAAAUAACCUCCAGUGAUGGAGGUUCGCUGGAGCUUAUAAAUGUCUCUCCCCAGUGAAGACAGCCUUUGAACGUUCGAUCUCAAAUCAGGUAGGACUACCCGCUGAACUUAAGCAUAUCAAUAAGCGGAGGA